GAUGAACGCUGACAGAAUGCUUAACACAUGCAAGUCAACUUGAAUUUGGGUUUUUACCUUAGGUUUGGGUGGCGGACGGGUGAGUAACGCGUAAAGAACUUGCCUCACAGCUAGGGACAACAUUUGGAAACGAAUGCUAAUACCUAAUAUUAUGAUAAUAGGGCAUCCUAUAAUUAUGAAAGCUAUAAGCGCUGUGAGAGAGCUUUGCGUCCCAUUAGCUAGUUGGAGAGGUAACGGCUCACCAAGGCGAUGAUGGGUAGCCGGCCUGAGAGGGUGAUCGGCCACAAGGGGACUGAGACACGGCCCUUACUCCUACGGGAGGCAGCAGUGGGGAAUAUUGGACAAUGGACCGAGAGUCUGAUCCAGCAAUUCUGUGUGCACGAUGAAGUUUUUCGGAAUGUAAAGUGCUUUCAGUUGGGAAGAAACAAAAGACGGUACCAACAGAAGAAGUGACGGCUAAAUACGUG
This 467-nucleotide ribosomal RNA is filed under the name uncultured bacterium. RNAcentral describes it as "partial 16S ribosomal RNA". It matches the Rfam family "Bacterial small subunit ribosomal RNA", at positions 28 to 507 of the family's 1533-position model. The record is from RNAcentral.